UUGGUUCUGUAUUAUUUGAUGGGGGUGACGAUUCCCACUGAGUUAUGUUUUUGUGUGGGUGAAUUUAGUGGGUGUGGCACUUGGUGGAAAUGUGGGUGGAUAUGUUAGAAUUGUAGGUUGCACAAUAAAUGUAAUUGAAACAGGACACUUGGUUUCAGUUGAAGUCAAUAUAUUUUACAUUAGGAAAAUUGAGACGAAUUACAAUUGUGUUGGUCAGAAAGAUAAUGAAUUUGAGUCAAAAUAGAUAAAAGUACAUUGAAUGAGAGAGGCUCAAGACUGACAAGAAAUCACAUAAGAGCAUCACCCGAGAAUGGGUAUUGCACCCUUAUUUAUAGUUUUAGUGAAUGAGGAAAAAGGUGCACGAAAAUUAGUGUACAUAAAUAGACUUCGUGGAAACAUGUUACAAAACUUGGUUCAUGGAAAGAAAAAAGGUUCACUUAAUUGUUAAAUUAACUUAACCAAAAUUGUUAUGCGUCAGCAAGUUAAAUGCAUUAAGAUUAUAGAAUGUUGAACUUGAAUGAUAAUUUUACAAAAAUGACAAACUGAACAUUAUUCAAGUGUGAAUAUUUUUAGUUAAAAAUAACAAAUGCUUAAAGUAUACUCAUCGAAUAUUGGCAUCCCGAGUCAAUCCAAUACUUGUUUAAUAUUAUUUUAGUAUUAUAUUUAUAUAAUAAAUUUAGCUCCUCCCAGAAGCUCAGAUUUGGUGGGAAAACUAUACUACACUUUAUCCCCAUUCCUUGCCUCUGCGAGUAGUUGUUUCGCAAUUAAAUCUUGUCUGAAAUUAUUGGAGAAAAAAUUUUCCGUUGUAAUUUUUCCUAACGAAGGAACAGUGGAGGCCGUUCUAACAAUUUGGGUCAAUCUUGCCAAGAAUAGUUGUCAGUAUCCUGAUUUGGAAAAAAUCACUGCAGCAAAUUUACGAAAAUUUAUUAGUAGUAGGCCCUCCUAAAACCAGACUGGAAAUCCUACAAUUGCAAAGUUUUGGUACAGUCAGAAAAUUUAAUAGAUGCAAGACACAAGGCCAAUCUUGCCCAAGAUACAUCAGGGGUUGAGUCAGAAUCCACACCCACCGCGAUCACCCGUGCCACAGAAGGCAGCGCCCAUUACCAGCUCCAGUUCUGAUGAUGAAAUACCAAUCCCUGCGGAUGUAAAUACUUCCGCACUUACUCGCUUUAGCAUUCCUGAGGAAAAUCUACAUCUUGGUGAGCAGGAUCCACUGGUCCAUGACAACUUCCCAAACUCACUACUUCACCAUAUCAGAGGGGAGUGGUUUCUCACACAACCAUGCCAAUGAUAGCGAAAUUUUGCCACUUGAUCCUGUCCAAGUUCAAUAUCUCUCAUUGCUUACAUCUACUCUUCCGGCGAAAGCUGCUUUCACCAACUUUAAGAAUUUGGAACUUGCAUUGAAAAGUACGAAUUUUUUGUAUUAUACAUAUUUGUAGAUGUUUUUAUUUAUUUUCAAUAUCAGAGAAGUAGGCAAAAUUGAGUAUGAAAUCAAGACGGAGCUAUAUUUUUUAUUAAAAUAUUUGAGCGUAAAGAACCAUAUUUUACCUUUCCUGUAGAUAGUAGCUUGUUAAACAUUUUUCGUGUAUGCAAACUCUCAAUUUGUUCCAUUCCUUUUCCCCAAACAUCAAUAGCUCGAAAAUGUGUUCUGUUACCCCUAGAACUAAAUAAUUUUGUUAUUUUUGCUAUGUAAUAAUUACUUAGAACAGUAACGUAAAUGUGUCUGGUAUUGUAAAGGUUUGUAUGUAAUUAUAGCUUUCUUUCUAGA
Molecule: long non-coding RNA, 1768 nt
Organism: Folsomia candida
Lineage: Eukaryota; Metazoa; Arthropoda; Collembola; Entomobryomorpha; Isotomidae
Exons: 3
Source: RefSeq, a predicted model, not a curated record